RNAcentral lists this ribosomal RNA (503 nucleotides) under uncultured bacterium. RNAcentral's name for it is "partial 16S ribosomal RNA". It matches the Rfam family "Bacterial small subunit ribosomal RNA", at positions 30 to 523 of the family's 1533-position model. The record is from RNAcentral.
AUUGAACGCUGGCGGCAGGCUUAACACAUGCAAGUCGAGCGGGGUGAUGGUGCUUGCACUAUCACUUAGCGGCGGACGGGUGAGUAAUGCUUAGGAAUCUGCCUAUUAGUGGGGGACAACAUCUCGAAAGGGAUGCUAAUACCGCAUACGUCCUACGGGAGAAAGCAGGGGAUCACUUGUGACCUUGCGCUAAUAGAUGAGCCUAAGUCGGAUUAGCUAGUUGGUGGGGUAAAGGCCUACCAAGGCGACGAUCUGUAGCGGGUCUGAGAGGAGGAUCCGCCACACUGGGAAUGAGACACGGCCCAAAGUCCUACGGGAGGCAGCAGUGGGGAAUAUUGGACAAUGGGGGGAACCCUGAUCCAGCCAUGCCGCGUGUGUGAAGAAGGCCUUAUGGUUGUAAAGCACUUUAAGCGAGGAGGAGGCUCUUUUGGUUAAUACCCAAGAUGAGUGGACGUUACUCGCAGAAUAAGCACCGGCUAACUCUGUGCCAGCCGCCGCGAUAA